UACAGAGGGUGCAAGCGUUAUUCGGAAUUAUUGGGCGUAAAGGGCGCGUAGGCGGUCUGAUAAGACAGGCGUGAAAUCCCUGGACUCAAUUGAGGAAGCGCAUUGGAUACUGUCAGACUAGAGUAAAGGAGAGGUGUGCGGAAUUCCCGGUGUAGAGGUGAAAUUCGUAGAUAUCGGGAGGAACAACAGUGGCGAAGGCGGCACACUGGACUGAAACUGACGCUGAGGCGCGAAAGCGUGGGGAGCAGACAGG
Molecule: ribosomal RNA, 253 nt
Filed under: uncultured bacterium
Lineage: Bacteria
Description: partial 16S ribosomal RNA
Rfam family: Bacterial small subunit ribosomal RNA
Source: RNAcentral